RNAcentral lists this ribosomal RNA (232 nucleotides) under uncultured fungus. RNAcentral's name for it is "partial 18S ribosomal RNA". It matches the Rfam family "Eukaryotic small subunit ribosomal RNA", at positions 40 to 274 of the family's 1831-position model. The record is from RNAcentral. Lineage: Eukaryota; Fungi.
AAGAUUAAGCCAUGCAUGUCUAAGUAUAAGCAAUUUAUACAGUGAAACUGCGAAUGGCUCAUUAAAUCAGUUAUCGUUUACUUGAUAGUUUCUUUACUACUUGGAUAACCGUGGUAAUUCUAGAGCUAAUACAUGCAAAAAAUCCCGACUCACGAAGGGAUGUAUUUAUUAGAUAAAAAACCAAUGUUCUUCGGAACUCAGUGGUGAUUCAUAAUAACUUUUCGAAUCGCAU